AAAAAGGGAGAGAGAAGCGGCAGCUGCCCCUCGCUUGCCCCCCCCCCAACUGCUUCCUCCACGCCCGGCCCACGAGCGUGUGCGGGGUGUUCCUCGUGGGGGUGGGAUUCGGUGCAAGAGAAAAACAAAGCCCCGUCCGCUUGGAUCGGCCAGAAACAGGAAACCGCGUGUUUGCAGAACAGUAUCAGAACAGGGACUCAUGCAGAGACGGCGAUCGAUUGCGCCAGCGUGCAGUUCCCCUUCCUAUGGAAAUAGCCGCCUUUUCGACCUCCUCCCGAUUUCCCUUUCUUCCGCACCUCUUCUUCGUCGCAACUGCAUCCAAUCGUACUAGCAGCUCCAGACAUUAAAGGGUUCUAGGUGGCAAAAGAGGCUGGAUCUGCCUCUCAUAGGGGCUUCCUACAUCCACAAAGCUAACCCUGCAGUGCAGAGUCUGUUUCCUACCUCCAGGUGCUGUGUGAGGACUGGGCAAGGGUGACUUACUCAGCCCUGUAACUCUGCCAAUAACCACUAAGGGCGCACACUCCACAUCACCUGCCCCGACCGGGUCUGUGAUGGCCCUUAACGCCCUUUUACUCAUCCCGGUGUAUCAUCAGGGUUGCUGCAAGAGCGGAUAUUUCUCACUCUCAACGGAGAAGUAUGGGUGGAGUGAAGACAGUCACGUUUGCGAGUGUGUAAACGGAACCAAGCGGCGGUACUUGCUCCGGAUUAAUUAAUUCGGAUUAUAAAACCCCGAGCUUGUGCCGAAAGUACUGUAAGGCGGAGAAGGGGAACAAACCGAGCGCCUCUUUACUCCCUCCUUGCAUGUGUUAAGAGUUGCUUUUUAAAAAUAAAAUGGAACGAGGGUCGCUGUGUUUUCUCCGUGGCUAUAAUGGACUGGAAUACAGAACAUUUAUUUAA
This is a non-coding RNA of Podarcis muralis (Common wall lizard), 897 nucleotides long. Lineage: Eukaryota; Metazoa; Chordata; Lepidosauria; Squamata; Lacertidae. The record is from RefSeq and is a predicted model, not a curated record.